RNAcentral lists this ribosomal RNA (643 nucleotides) under uncultured Actinomycetes bacterium. RNAcentral describes it as "bacterial SSU rRNA". It matches the Rfam family "Bacterial small subunit ribosomal RNA", at positions 231 to 885 of the family's 1533-position model. Lineage: Bacteria; Bacillati; Actinomycetota; Actinomycetes. The record is from RNAcentral.
UCGCGGCCUAUCAGCUUGUUGGUGGGGUAAUGGCCUACCAAGGCGACGACGGGUAGCCGGCCUGAGAGGGCGACCGGCCACACUGGAACUGAGACACGGUCCAGACUCCUACGGGAGGCAGCAGUGGGGAAUAUUGCACAAUGGGCGAAAGCCUGAUGCAGCGACGCCGCGUGAGGGACGACGGCCUUCGGGUUGUAAACCUCUUUCAGCAGGGACGAAGCGAAAGUGACUGUACCUGCAGAAGAAGCACCGGCUAACUACGUGCCAGCAGCCGCGGUAAUACGUAGGGUGCAAGCGUUGUCCGGAUUUAUUGGGCGUAAAGAGCUCGUAGGCGGUUUGUCGCGUCGGAUGUGAAAACCUAUGGCUUAACCAUGGGCCUGCAUUCGAUACGGGCAAACUAGAGUUCGGUAGGGGAGACUGGAACUCCUGGUGUAGCGGUGAAAUGCGCAGAUAUCAGGAAGAACACCGGCGGCGAAGGCGGGUCUCUGGGCCGAUACUGACGCUGAGGAGCGAAAGCGUGGGGAGCAAACAGGAUUAGAUACCCUGGUAGUCCACGCCGUAAACGGUGGGCGCUAGGUGUGGGGAUCUUCCACGGUCUCCGUGCCGUAGCUAACGCAUUAAGCGCCCCGCCUGGGGAGUACGG